Molecule: ribosomal RNA, 403 nt
Filed under: bacterium enrichment culture clone ALO1_GLFRUDD03HBN6D
Lineage: Bacteria
Description: bacterial SSU rRNA
Rfam family: Bacterial small subunit ribosomal RNA
Source: RNAcentral
GAGUUUGAUCUUGGCUCAGAUUGAACGCUGGCGGCAUGCCUUACACAUGCAAGUCGAACGGCAGCACGGGAGCUUGCUCCUGGUGGCGAGUGGCGAACGGGUGAGUAAUGCACCGGAACGUAUCCUGGAGUGGGGGAUAACGUAGCGAAAGUUACGCUAAUACCGCAUAUUCUGUGAGCAGGAAAGCGGGGGACCUUCGGGCCUCGCGCUCUUGGAGCGGCCGAUGUCGGAUUAGCUAGUUGGUGAGGUAAAGGCUCACCAAGGCGACGAUCCGUAGCAGGUCUGAGAGGAUGAUCUGCCACACUGGAACUGAGACACGGUCCAGACUCCUACGGGAGGCAGCAGUGGGGAAUUUUGGACAAUGGGGGCAACCCUGAUCCAGCCAUGCCGCGUGAGUGAAGAA